GUCAAGCUACAAAGGCUCACGGCGGAUACCUUGGCACACAGAGGCGAUGAAAGGACGUGUACCUGCGAUAAGUUCUCGGGAGCUGGAGCACGCUUUGUAUUCGGAUUC
Molecule: ribosomal RNA, 108 nt
Filed under: uncultured Synechococcus sp.
Lineage: Bacteria; Bacillati; Cyanobacteriota; Cyanophyceae; Synechococcales; Synechococcaceae
Description: partial 23S ribosomal RNA
Source: RNAcentral